CCUACGGGUGGCAGCAGUGAGGAAUAUUGGUCAAUGGGCGCUAGCCUGAACCAGCCAAGUAGCGUGAAGGAUGACGGCCCUAUGGGUUGUAAACUUCUUUUAUAGGGGAGUAAAGUGCAGUGGGUAUACUGCUUUGCAUGUACCUUAUGAAUAAGGAUCGGCUAACUCCGUGCCAGCAGUCGCGGUAAUACGGAGGAUCCGCUGGUUGUCCGGAUUUAUUGGGUGUAAAGGGAGCGUAGGCGGGUUGUUAAGUCAGUUGUGAAAGUUUGGGGCUCAACCGUAAAAUUGCAGUUGAUACUGGCGUCCUUGAGUACAGUAGAGGUAGGCGGAAUUCGUGGUGUAGCGGUGAAAUGCUUAGAUAUCACGAAGAACUCCGAUUGCGAAGGCAGCCUGCUGGACUGCAACUGACGCUGAUGCGCGAAAGUGUGGGUAUCAAACAGGAUUAGAUACCCUGGUAGUC
Molecule: ribosomal RNA, 460 nt
Filed under: uncultured bacterium
Lineage: Bacteria
Description: partial 16S ribosomal RNA
Rfam family: Bacterial small subunit ribosomal RNA
Source: RNAcentral